RNAcentral lists this ribosomal RNA (416 nucleotides) under uncultured bacterium. RNAcentral describes it as "bacterial SSU rRNA". It matches the Rfam family "Bacterial small subunit ribosomal RNA", at positions 64 to 524 of the family's 1533-position model. The record is from RNAcentral.
GAGCGGGCAUCAGCAAGAUGUCAGCGGCAGACGGGAGAGUACACGUGGGAACGUGCCCUUCAGUUCGGAACAACCCAGGGAAACUUGGGCUGAUACCGGAUACGUACGUAAGGAGAAAGAUUUAUCGCUGAAGGAUCGGCCCGCGUCUGAUUAGCUAGUUGGUGGGGUAAUGGCUCACCAAGGCGACGAUCAGUAGCUGGUCUGAGAGGAUGAUCAGCCUCACUGGGACUGAGACACGGCCCAGACUCCUACGGGAGGCAGCAGUGGGGAAUAUUGGACAAUGGGCGCAAGCCUGAUCCAGCCAUGCCGCGUGGGUGAUGAAGGCCCUAGGGUUGUAAAGCCCUUUCGGCGGGGAAGAUAAUGACGGUACCCGCAGAAGAAGCCCCGGCUAACUUCGCGCCAGCAGCCGCGGUAAU